Molecule: long non-coding RNA, 584 nt
Filed under: Salmo salar (Atlantic salmon)
Lineage: Eukaryota; Metazoa; Chordata; Actinopteri; Salmoniformes; Salmonidae
Description: lncRNA (ENSSSAG00000091741.1)
Source: RNAcentral
GUUUAUCAAGACAUAGGAUAGGUUGUGUGAAAAUAUUACUGAUGUUUAACGUUAAAAAUGGACCAAAAGAUUAAUGCUAAACAACGUUUGACAUGUUUGAACGAACCUAAAUAGAUUAUUUACUAGGUUUUUUAGCUUUUCGGCGUGAUUUUACAACCCCCCCCACCACGUUUUGUGGGAGCAUAAUGAACGCUAACUACUUGGUGUUAUUUGGACAUAAAUUAUGAACUUUGUCAAAAGAAACCACAUUUGUUCCGGACCUGGGAUUCCUGGCAGUGCCUUCUGAUGGAGAUAAUCAAAGUGUUUCUUGGAUUUGCUGCCUGCUAAUUGGAGGGAUAACUUGUUUUACACUUAAAGGUAAUUCUAAUGGGCAUCAUGCCUACACUGGACCUGAACCAACUGGAUCCUAUGCCAAAGCAAGUGUGGUGCCUAGUCCAAAUGCUAAAGCUACUGGCCACAAUGCCACGUCAGCAGAAGCUACUGGCCACAAUGCCACGUCAGCAGAAGCUACUGGCCACAAUGCCACGCCAGCAGAAUCUACUGGCCACAAUGCCCCGUCAAGUGUGAAGUCCGGCCCCAGCGCC